This 671-nucleotide ribosomal RNA is filed under the name Lactobacillus delbrueckii subsp. bulgaricus. RNAcentral's name for it is "partial 23S ribosomal RNA". It matches the Rfam family "Bacterial large subunit ribosomal RNA", at positions 397 to 1069 of the family's 2925-position model. The record is from RNAcentral. Lineage: Bacteria; Bacillati; Bacillota; Bacilli; Lactobacillales; Lactobacillaceae.
CUAUCAGUAUCCUGAGUAGGGCGGGACACGUGAAAUCCCGUUUGAAUCCGCGAGGACCAUCUCGCAAGGCUAAAUACUAACCAGUGACCGAUAGUGAACCAGUACCGUGAGGGAAAGGUGAAAAGAACCCCGGGAGGGGAGUGAAAGAGAACCUGAAACCGUGUGCCUACAAGUAGUCAGAGCCCGUUAACGGGUAAUGGCGUGCCUUUUGUAGAAUGAACCGGCGAGUUGCGUUAGUCAGCAAGGUUAAGUCAGAAAAGACGGAGCCGUAGCGAAAGCGAGUCUGAAGAGGGCGAGCAGUUGGCUGACGCAGACCCGAAACCAAGUGACCUACCCAUGACCAGGUUGAAGGCGCGGUAAAACGCGCUGGAGGACCGAACCCACGUAAGUUGAAAAUUGCGGGGAUGAGUUGUGGGUAGCGGUGAAAUUCCAAACGAACUUGGAGAUAGCUGGUUCUCUCCGAAAUAGCUUUAGGGCUAGCCUCGCAAAGAGGAUGCUGGAGGUAGAGCUCUGUUUGGACUAGGGGCCCGUCAAGGGUUACUGAAUUCAGAUAAACUGCGAAUUCCAGACAUUUAUGUGCGGGAGUCAGACUGCGAGUGAUAAGAUCCGUAGUCGAAAGGGAAACAGCCCAGAUCACCAGUUAAGGUCCCAAAAUUCAUGCUAAGUGGAAA